AGCUUUGCACAGUGGUAGUAUUGUAGCCAAUGAGGUUUAUCUGAGGCAUGAUGAUUGCUAAUAAAAAAUAAAUAAAAGGC
Oryctolagus cuniculus (rabbit) is the source of this 80-nucleotide small nuclear RNA. Its record names the gene U4. It matches the Rfam family "U4 spliceosomal RNA". Rfam says of the family: U4 small nuclear RNA (U4 snRNA) is a component of the major U2-dependent spliceosome. The structure of U4 snRNA from yeast and human has been reported. U4 snRNA presents a k-turn RNA motif in the 5p-SL related to recognition of Snu13 protein. The record is from Ensembl. Lineage: Eukaryota; Metazoa; Chordata; Mammalia; Lagomorpha; Leporidae.